Molecule: ribosomal RNA, 1664 nt
Filed under: Escherichia coli
Lineage: Bacteria; Pseudomonadati; Pseudomonadota; Gammaproteobacteria; Enterobacterales; Enterobacteriaceae
Description: partial 23S ribosomal RNA
Rfam family: Bacterial large subunit ribosomal RNA
Source: RNAcentral
GGCGUGUGACUGCGUACCUUUUGUAUAAUGGGUCAGCGACUUAUAUUCUGUAGCAAGGUUAACCGAAUAGGGGAGCCGAAGGGAAACCGAGUCUUAACUGGGCGUUAAGUUGCAGGGUAUAGACCCGAAACCCGGUGAUCUAGCCAUGGGCAGGUUGAAGGUUGGGUAACACUAACUGGAGGACCGAACCGACUAAUGUUGAAAAAUUAGCGGAUGACUUGUGGCUGGGGGUGAAAGGCCAAUCAAACCGGGAGAUAGCUGGUUCUCCCCGAAAGCUAUUUAGGUAGCGCCUCGUGAAUUCAUCUCCGGGGGUAGAGCACUGUUUCGGCAAGGGGGUCAUCCCGACUUACCAACCCGAUGCAAACUGCGAAUACCGGAGAAUGUUAUCACGGGAGACACACGGCGGGUGCUAACGUCCGUCGUGAAGAGGGAAACAACCCAGACCGCCAGCUAAGGUCCCAAAGUCAUGGUUAAGUGGGAAACGAUGUGGGAAGGCCCAGACAGCCAGGAUGUUGGCUUAGAAGCAGCCAUCAUUUAAAGAAAGCGUAAUAGCUCACUGGUCGAGUCGGCCUGCGCGGAAGAUGUAACGGGGCUAAACCAUGCACCGAAGCUGCGGCAGCGACACUAUGUGUUGUUGGGUAGGGGAGCGUUCUGUAAGCCUGUGAAGGUGUACUGUGAGGUAUGCUGGAGGUAUCAGAAGUGCGAAUGCUGACAUAAGUAACGAUAAAGCGGGUGAAAAGCCCGCUCGCCGGAAGACCAAGGGUUCCUGUCCAACGUUAAUCGGGGCAGGGUGAGUCGACCCCUAAGGCGAGGCCGAAAGGCGUAGUCGAUGGGAAACAGGUUAAUAUUCCUGUACUUGGUGUUACUGCGAAGGGGGGACGGAGAAGGCUAUGUUGGCCGGGCGACGGUUGUCCCGGUUUAAGCGUGUAGGCUGGUUUUCCAGGCAAAUCCGGAAAAUCAAGGCUGAGGCGUGAUGACGAGGCACUACGGUGCUGAAGCAACAAAUGCCCUGCUUCCAGGAAAAGCCUCUAAGCAUCAGGUAACAUCAAAUCGUACCCCAAACCGACACAGGUGGUCAGGUAGAGAAUACCAAGGCGCUUGAGAGAACUCGGGUGAAGGAACUAGGCAAAAUGGUGCCGUAACUUCGGGAGAAGGCACGCUGAUAUGUAGGUGAAGUCCCUCGCGGAUGGAGCUGAAAUCAGUCGAAGAUACCAGCUGGCUGCAACUGUUUAUUAAAAACACAGCACUGUGCAAACACGAAAGUGGACGUAUACGGUGUGACGCCUGCCCGGUGCCGGAAGGUUAAUUGAUGGGGUUAGCCGCAAGGCGAAGCUCUUGAUCGAAGCCCCGGUAAACGGCGGCCGUAACUAUAACGGUCCUAAGGUAGCGAAAUUCCUUGUCGGGUAAGUUCCGACCUGCACGAAUGGCGUAAUGAUGGCCAGGCUGUCUCCACCCGAGACUCAGUGAAAUUGAACUCGCUGUGAAGAUGCAGUGUACCCGCGGCAAGACGGAAAGACCCCGUGAACCUUUACUAUAGCUUGACACUGAACAUUGAGCCUUGAUGUGUAGGAUAGGUGGGAGGCUUUGAAGUGUGGACGCCAGUCUGCAUGGAGCCGACCUUGAAAUACCACCCUUUAAUGUUUGAUGUUCUAACGUUGACCCGU